CUGGGUAAAUCCGUCUUGAGACAAACAAUAACAACAAAGGCAGCUAGUUCUUGAUCACCACUUCGUUCCCAACAACAAAAAGACUUCUUUUUCUCUCCCUUUUGUUCUCCAAACCCCAUUUCUUUAAACUCUUUGAAUUGGGGAUUUUCUUGAUUUUUUUUUGAGAAAAAGACAAUCUUUUUCUGUAUUUGGACUUUUUUUCUUUAUAAGGG
Molecule: unclassified non-coding RNA, 212 nt
Filed under: Hevea brasiliensis (rubber tree)
Lineage: Eukaryota; Viridiplantae; Streptophyta; Magnoliopsida; Malpighiales; Euphorbiaceae
Source: RNAcentral